UCAGGCGAAGUCAUUGAUCCUAUGCUGCCUAGAAAAGCCCAGCAGCGAGUUGACAUGGUGCCCGUACCCCAAACCAACACAGGUGGACAGGUAGAGCAUACCAAGGCGAGUGGGAUAACUAUGGUUAAGGAACUCGGCAAAUUGCCUCCGUAACUUCGGGAGAAGGAGGACCCCAGUAGCGUGAUGAGACUUGCUCUCUGAGCGUGAAGGGGUGGCACAAAAUUGAGGGAAGCGACUGUUUACCAAAAACACAGCAGCGUGCUAAGCCGUAAGGCGCUGUACACGCUGUGACUCCUGCCCGGUGCUGGAAGGUUACGGGGAUGGGUUAGUCCUUCGGGACGAAGCUCUGAACCUAAGCCCCAGUAAACGGCGGCCGUAACUAUAACGGUCCUAAGGUAGCGAAAUUCCUUGUCGGGUAAGUUCCGACCUGCACGAAUGGAGUAACGACUUCCCUACUGUCUCAACCAUAGACCCAGCGAAAUUGAAGUACGAGUAAAGAUGCUCGUUAGCUGCAGAAGGACGGAAAGACCCCGUGGACCUUUACUAUAACUUGAUGUUGUGUUUUGUCAUAUGUUGUGUAGGAUAGGUGGGAGACUUGGAAGCAUGGACGCUAGUCUGUGUGGAGUCAUCGUUGAAAUACCACCCUGCAUAUGGUGAGGCUCUAACCUAGACUCGUUAUCCGGGUUGGGGACAGCGUCAGGCGGGUAGUUUAACUGGGGCGGUUGCCUCCUAAAGAGUAACGGAGGCGCCCAAAGGUUCCCUCAGCCUGGUUGGCAAUCAGGCGUUGAGUGCUAUGGCAAAAGGGAGCUUGACUGCGAGACCUACAAGUCGAGCAGGAGCGAAAGCUGGGCAUAGUGAUCCGGCGGUUGCGUGUGGAAGCGCCGUCGCUCAACGGAUAAAAGGUACCCCGGGGAUAACAGGCUAAUCUUGCCCAAGCGUCCAUAGCGACGGCAAGGUUUGGCACCUCGAUGUCGGCUCAUCGCAUCCUGGGGCUGAAGCAGGUCCCAAGGGUUGGGCUGUUCGCCCAUUAAAGCGGUACGCGAGCUGGGUUCAGAACGUCGUGAGACAGUUCGGUCCCUAUCCUCUGCAGCCGGAGGUGAAUUGAGGAAAGCUGUCCUAGUACGAGAGGACCGGGACGGACGCAGCUCUCGUGUGCCAGUUGUCCUGCCAAGGGCAUGGCUGGUUAGCGACCUGCGGAAAGGAUAACCGCUGAAAGCAUCUAAGCGGGAAGCCUCUUCCAAGAUGAAUUCACCCACAGGGUUAACCUGGUAAGGCCCGUGGUAGACCACCACGUUGAUAGGCCGGAAGUGUAAGCGUGGCAACACGUUCAGCUGACCGGUACUAAUCGGCCGAGGGCUUGAGCG
RNAcentral lists this ribosomal RNA (1364 nucleotides) under metagenome. RNAcentral's name for it is "bacterial LSU rRNA". It matches the Rfam family "Bacterial large subunit ribosomal RNA", at positions 1581 to 2925 of the family's 2925-position model. The record is from RNAcentral.